UACGUAGGGGGCAAGCGUUGUCCGGAUUUACUGGGCGUAAAGCGCGUGUAGGCGGGAAGGCAAGUCCGGUGUAAAAGCCCACGGCUCAACCGUGGAAGGUCGCUGGAAACUGCCUUUCUUGAGGGUGAUAGAGGGAAGUGGAAUUGCCGGUGUAGCGGUGAAAUGCGUAGAUAUCGGCAGGAACACCCGUGGCGAAGGCGGCUUCCUGGAUCACCCCUGACGCUGAGACGCGAAAGCGUGGGGAGCGAACGGG
Molecule: ribosomal RNA, 253 nt
Filed under: uncultured bacterium
Lineage: Bacteria
Description: partial 16S ribosomal RNA
Rfam family: Bacterial small subunit ribosomal RNA
Source: RNAcentral